RNAcentral lists this unclassified non-coding RNA (306 nucleotides) under plant metagenome. RNAcentral's name for it is "partial contains 5.8S ribosomal RNA, internal transcribed spacer 2, and large subunit ribosomal RNA". The stretch from base 1 to 105 matches the Rfam family "5.8S ribosomal RNA", at positions 50 to 154 of the family's 154-position model. The record is from RNAcentral.
GAAAUGCGAUAAGUAAUGUGAAUUGCAGAAUUCAGUGAAUCAUCGAAUCUUUGAACGCACAUUGCGCCCGCCAGUAUUCUGGCGGGCAUGCCUGUCCGAGCGUCAUUUCAACCAUCAAGCCCCCGGGCUUGUGUUGGGGACCUGCGGCUGCCCGCAGGCCCUGAAAACCAGUGGCGGGCUCGCUGUCACCCCGAGCGUAGUAGCAAUCACCUCGCUCAGGGCGUGCUGCGGGUUCCGGCCGUUAAACAGCCUUACAAAACCCAAGGUUGACCUCGGAUCAGGUAGGAAGACCCGCUGAACUUAAGC